This 72-nucleotide transfer RNA is filed under the name Loxodonta africana (African savanna elephant). It matches the Rfam family "tRNA". Rfam says of the family: Transfer RNA (tRNA) molecules are approximately 80 nucleotides in length. The record is from Rfam by way of RNAcentral. Lineage: Eukaryota; Metazoa; Chordata; Mammalia; Proboscidea; Elephantidae.
GCCCUAGUGGUGUAAUGGUUAAGCUCUCAGCUGCUAACUGAAAGGUUGGCGGUUUGAAUCCACCCUGCGGCU